AGAGUUUGAUCCUGGCUCAGGACGAACGCUGGCGGCACGCUUAACACAUGCAAGUCGAACGAGAGAAGAGGAGCUUGCUUUUCUGAUCUAGUGGCGGACGGGUGAGUAACACGUGAGCAAUCUGCCUUUCAGAGGGGGAUACCGAUUGGAAACGAUCGUUAAUACCGCAUAACAUAAUUGAACCGCAUGAUUUGAUUAUCAAAGAUUUAUCGCUGAAAGAUGAGCUCGCGUCUGAUUAGCUAGUUGGUAAGGUAACGGCUUACCAAGGCGACGAUCAGUAGCCGGACUGAGAGGUUGAUCGGCCACAUUGGGACUGAGACACGGCCCAGACUCCUACGGGAGGCAGCAGUGGGGAAUAUUGCACAAUGGAGGAAACUCUGAUGCAGCGAUGCCGCGUGAGGGAAGAAGGUUUUAGGAUUGUAAACCUCUGUCUUCAGGGACGAAAAAAGACGGUACCUGAGGAGGAAGCUCCGGCUAACUACGUGCCAGCAGCCGCGGUAAUACGUAGGGAGCGAGCGUUGUCCGGAAUUACUGGGUGUAAAGGGAGCGUAGGCGGGAUCGCAAGUCAGAUGUGAAAACUAUGGGCUUAACCCAUAAACUGCAUUUGAAACUGUGGUUCUUGAGUGAAGUAGAGGUAAGCGGAAUUCCUAGUGUAGCGGUGAAAUGCGUAGAUAUUAGGAGGAACAUCAGUGGCGAAGGCGGCUUACUGGGCUUUAACUGACGCUGAGGCUCGAAAGCGUGGGGAGCAAACAGGAUUAGAUACCCUGGUAGUCCACGCCGUAAACGAUGAUUACUAGGUGUGGGGGGACUGACCCCUUCCGUGCCGCAGCAAACGCAAUAAGUAAUCCACCUGGGGAGUACGACCGCAAGGUUGAAACUCAAAGGAAUUGACGGGGGCCCGCACAAGCAGUGGAGUAUGUGGAUUAAUUCGAAGCAACGCGAAGAACCUUACCAGGUCUUGACAUCGUAUGCAUAGCUCAGAGAUGAGUGAAAUCUCUUCGGAGACAUAUAGACAGGUGGUGCAUGGUUGUCGUCAGCUCGUGUCGUGAGAUGUUGGGUUAAGUCCCGCAACGAGCGCAACCCUUACUGUUAGUUGCUACGCAAGAGCACUCUAGCAGGACUGCCGUUGACAAAACGGAGGAAGGUGGGGAUGACGUCAAAUCAUCAUGCCCCUUAUGACCUGGGCCUCACACGUACUACAAUGGCUGUCAACAGAGGGAAGCAAAGCCGCGAGGUGGAGCGAACCCCUAAAAGCAGUCUUAGUUCGGAUUGUAGGCUGCAACCCGCCUACAUGAAGUCGGAAUUGCUAGUAAUCGCAGAUCAGCAUGCUGCGGUGAAUACGUUCCCGGGCCUUGUACACACCGCCCGUCACGCCAUGGGAGUCGGUAACACCCGAAGCCUGUAGUCUAACCGCAAGGAGGACGCAGUCGAAGGUGGGAUUGAUGACUGGGGUGAAGUCGGAACAAGGUA
This 1470-nucleotide ribosomal RNA is filed under the name metagenome. RNAcentral describes it as "bacterial SSU rRNA". It matches the Rfam family "Bacterial small subunit ribosomal RNA". The record is from RNAcentral.